This 50-nucleotide transfer RNA is filed under the name Aerangis punctata. Its description in RNAcentral is "partial tRNA-Leu". The record is from RNAcentral. Lineage: Eukaryota; Viridiplantae; Streptophyta; Magnoliopsida; Asparagales; Orchidaceae.
AAAUCCGUCGAAUUUGUAAAUNCGUGAGGGUUCAAGUCCCUCUAUCCCCA